Molecule: ribosomal RNA, 468 nt
Filed under: uncultured bacterium
Lineage: Bacteria
Description: partial 16S ribosomal RNA
Rfam family: Bacterial small subunit ribosomal RNA
Source: RNAcentral
GACGAACGCUGGCGGCGUGCCUAACACAUGCAAGUCGAACGGAAAGGCCCUAAUUGUUUGCUUUGCUGGGGUGGCGAACGGGUGUGUAACACGUGAGUAACCUGCCCUUUACUUUGGGAUAACUUCACGAAACUGGGGCUAAUACAGAACAGGAGCUCCUCCUGCAUGGAGGUGGUUGGAAAGUUUCGGCGGUGGGGGAUGGACUCGCGGGUUAUCAGCUUGUUGGUGGGGUAGUGGCUUACCAAGGCUUUGACGGGUAGCCGGCCUUAGAGGGUGACCGGCCCCAUUAGGACUGAGAUACGGCCCAGACUCCAACGGGAGGCAACGGAGGAGAAUAUUGUACAGCGGGCGGAAGGCUGAUGCAGCGACGCCGCGUGCGGGAAGACGUCCUGCGGGUUGAGAACCGCAGCCGCCUGUGACGAAGCGUUAGUGACGGUAACGGGUAAAGAAGCACCGGCUAACUACGUG